AUAGAUUGUUGUUCUUGUUGUUGUUGUUAUUACCUUUAUCAUAUUUAUCCAUCAGUAAACAUUAUCAACUCUCUAUAUUGUUUUUGUUAUAUACCUGGACCAUACAUGCGUGUCAACAGGACAAUACUUAUAGUGGCUACAUAUGAAUGCAUUAAGUACAUCACAUCAUUAAUUAGCAAACAACUAACAAGUUUUACAAUGCAAAUAAUAAAGGGGAGUCACUGUAUAGUCCUGCCUUCAGUUCUUUACCUCGUCACUGAAGUUGCAACACUACAUUGAAAUUACAAGCAAAGAAAGUUCCGUUCGCUGCGCCGCUCCAAGACUCGUCCUGCGCUGCUCCGGAACGUGAAUAUAAAGAGCUGAACUUUGUUGCGGCAUAUCCUCUUCGACGACAACAAGGAACUACUGGGCAACAGGUGAACUCACAGCUAGAACUGCACAUUGAAACCCCUGGAAGAAGCACUUUCACUGCCACAACCAACAGAGGACAUACUGUGGUCGUGGGUGUGGUGUGACUGGUGUUAGUGUUCGUGAAGGUGUGGUGUGGCUGGUAUUAGUGGUGGUGAAGGUGUGGUGUGGCUGGUAUUAGUGGUCGUGAAGGUGUGGUGUGACUGGUAUUAGUGUUGGUCGUGGGUGUGGUGUGGCUGGUAUUAGUGGUCGUGGGUGUGGUGUGGCUGGUAUUAGUGGUCGUGAUGGUGUGGUGUGACUGGUGUUAGUGGUCAUGGGUGUGGUGUGGCUGGUAUUAAUGGUCGUGGGUGUGGUGUGGCUGGUAUUAGUGGUGGUCGUGGGUGUGGUGUGGCUGGUAUUAGUGGUCGUGGGUGUGGUGUGGCUGGUAUUAGUGGUCGUGGGUGUGGUGUGGCUGGUAUUAGUGGUCGUGGGUGUGGUGUGGCUGGUAUUAGUGGUGGUCGUGGUGUGGUGUGGCUGGUAAUAGUGGUGGUCGUGGGUGUGGUGUGGCUGGUAUUAGUGGUGGUCGUGGGUGUGGUGUGGCUGGUAUUGGUGGUCGUGGGUGUGGUGUAGCUGGUAUUAGUGGUGGUCGUGGGUGUGGUGUGGCUGGUAUUAGUGGUGGUCGUGGGUGUGGUGUGGCUGGUAUUAGUGGUCGUGGUUGUGGUGUGGCUGGUAUUAGUGGUCGUGGGUGUGGUGUGGCUGGUAUUAGUGGUCGUGGGUGUGGUGUAGCUGGUAUUAGUGGUCGUGAUGGUGUGGUGUGGCUGGUAUUAGUGGUCGUGAUGGUGUGGUGUGGCUGGUAUUAGUGGUCGUGAUGGUGUGGUGUGGCUGGUAUUAGUGGUCGUGAAGGUGUUGUGUGGCUGGUGUUAGUGGUCGUGAUGGUGUGGUGUGGCUGGUAUUAGUGGUCGUGAUGGUGUGGUGUGGCUGGUAUUAGUGGUCGUGGGUCUGGUGUAGCUGGUAUUAGUGGUCGUGGGUGUGGUGUGGCUGGUAUUAGUGGUCGUGGGUGUGGUGUAGCUGGUAUUAGUGGUCGUGAUGGUGUGGUGUGGCUGGUAUUAGUGGUCGUGAUGGUGUGGUGUGGCUGGUGUUAGUGGUCGUGGGUCUGGUGUAGCUGGUAUUAGUGGUCGUGGGUGUGGUGUGGCUGGUAUUAGUGGUCGUGGGUGUGGUGUAGCUGGUAUUAGUGGUCGUGAUGGUGUGGUGUGGCUGGUAUUAGUGGUCGUGAUGGUGUGGUGUGGCUGGUAUUAGUGGUCAUGAUGGUGUGGUGUGGCUGGUAUUAGUGGUCGUGAUGGUGUGGUGUGGCUGGUAUUAGUGGUCGUGAUGGUGUGGUGUGGCUGGUAUUAGUGGUCGUGAUGGUGUGGUGUGGCUGGUAUUAGUGGUCAUGAUGGUGUGGUGUGGCUGUUAGUGGUC
Long non-coding RNA from Eriocheir sinensis (Chinese mitten crab), 1845 nucleotides. RefSeq lists it as uncharacterized. The record is from RefSeq and is a predicted model, not a curated record. The transcript is spliced from 7 exons. NCBI's taxonomy places the organism in Eukaryota, Metazoa, Arthropoda, Malacostraca, Decapoda, Varunidae.